GAGUUUGAUCCUGGCUCAGGACGAACGCUGGCGGCGUGCCUAACACAUGCAAGUCGAACGGAGAUGUUAAGGAAGUUUUACUGAAUUAAUGUCUUAGUGGCGGACGGGUGAGUAACGCGUGGGUGACCCACCCAUAAGAGGGGGAUAACAGUUGGAAACGACUGCUAAUACCGCAUAAGCUGAGUAAUCAGUAAAGGAGGCCUCUGAAAAUGCUUCCGCUUAUGGAUGGGCCCGCGUCUGAUUAGCUGGUUGGUGGGGUAAAGGCCUACCAAGGCGACGAUCAGUAGCCGGCCUGAGAGGGUGAACGGCCACACUGGGACUGAGACACGGCCCAGACUCCUACGGGAGGCAGCAGUGGGGAAUAUUGCGCAAUGGGGGAAACCCUGACGCAGCGACGCCGCGUGAGCGAAGAAGGCCUUAGGGUCGUAAAGCUCUGUUUUAAGGGACGAAUGUCGCGGGUAAUAAUACGAUCUGCGAAUGACGGUACCUUAAGAGGAAGCCCCGGCUAACUACGUGCCAGCAGCCGCGGUAAGACGUAGGGGGCGAGCGUUGUCCGGAAUUACUGGGCGUAAAGAGCACGUAGGCGGGAUUUUAAGUCAGGUGUGAAAGACCGUGGCUCAACCACGGGGUUGCACUUGAAACUGGGAUUCUUGAGGGCAGGAGAGGAAAGUGGAAUUCCUGGUGUAGCGGUGAAAUGCGUAGAAAUCAGGAGGAACACCGGUGGCGAAGGCGACUUUCUGGACUGACCCUGACGCUGAGGUGCGAAAGCGUGGGUAGCAAACAGGAUUAGAUACCCUGGUAGUCCACGCUGUAAACGAUGGAU
Molecule: ribosomal RNA, 823 nt
Filed under: uncultured bacterium
Lineage: Bacteria
Description: bacterial SSU rRNA
Rfam family: Bacterial small subunit ribosomal RNA
Source: RNAcentral